UCUGGUCAGGACGAACGCUGGCGGCAUGCCUAACACAUGCAAGUCGAACGGAGCAAGGGGGCUUGCCCUCUUGCUAGUGGCGGACGGGCGAGUAACGCGUGAGCAACCUGCCCCUCAGAGGGGAAUAACGUCCGGAAACGGACGCUAAUACCGCAUAACGCAGCGGGAGCGCAUGCUUCUGCUGCCAAAGGAGCAAUCCGCUGAGGGAUGGGCUCGCGUCCGAUUAGCUGGUUGGCGGGGUAACGGCCCACCAAGGCGACGAUCGGUAGCCGAACUGAGAGGUUGAUCGGCCGCAUUGGGACUGAGACACGGCCCAGACUCCUACGGGAGGCAGCAGUGGGGGAUAUUGCACAAUGGAGGAAACUCUGAUGCAGCAAUGCCGCGUGAGGGAAGACGGUCUUCGGAUUGUAAACCUAAGUAGACAGGAACGAUAAUGACGGUACCUGUAAAGUAAGCUCCGGCUAACUACGUGCCAGCAGCCGC
Molecule: ribosomal RNA, 483 nt
Filed under: uncultured bacterium
Lineage: Bacteria
Description: bacterial SSU rRNA
Rfam family: Bacterial small subunit ribosomal RNA
Source: RNAcentral